AUUCCCUCAGUAACGGCGAGUGAAGUGGGAAAAGCUCAAAUUUUAAAUCUACCUGGUACCCCCAGGUCGAGUUGUAAUUUGAAGAAGCGUUUUCGGUGCUUCGGUCUGGUCCAAGUUCUUUGGAACAAGGCAUCACGGAGGGUGAGAAUCCCGUGCAUGAUCAGAUUCGAAGUAUCAACCAGAUACGCUCUCGAAGAGUCGAGUUGUUUGGGAAUGCAGCUCAAAUUGGGUGGUAGACUUCACCUAAGGCUAAAUAUCAGCGAGAGACCGAUAGCGAACAAGUACCGUGAGGGAAAGAUGAAAAGAACUUUGAAAAGAGAGUUAAAUAGUACGUGAAAUUGUUGAAAGGGAAACGAUUGAAGUCAGUCGUGCCGGCGAGAAAUCAACUUAACGGGUUUUGGGUUUCUUGGGUUGAGUCAGGGUCAAACCGUCAUCUCCCUUGACUUCGAGAUUUGUUGGGUGUACUUUCUCGCUUUGGCAGGUCAGCGUCGAUUUCGUGGGUCGUAAAAUAACUGGGGGAAAGUAGCUCCCUUCGGGGAGUGUUAUAGACCCUGGGGGAUGCGGUCCGCGGGAUCGAGGAUUGCAGCAAAUGCUCUCGGGCUCGUCGCCUAUCACCUGGAAGUCGCCCCGCGGGUGACAACAUUCUUGACAUUCGUGGGAUCUUGACGACCACGGGUUAGAGCGUUCUGAAAUUUUGCUAAGGAUGC
This 707-nucleotide ribosomal RNA is filed under the name Diversisporaceae sp. WK-2012. RNAcentral describes it as "LSU rRNA". It matches the Rfam family "Eukaryotic large subunit ribosomal RNA", at positions 74 to 626 of the family's 3401-position model. Lineage: Eukaryota; Fungi; Glomeromycota; Glomeromycetes; Diversisporales; Diversisporaceae. The record is from RNAcentral.